Molecule: ribosomal RNA, 328 nt
Filed under: uncultured eukaryote
Lineage: Eukaryota
Description: partial 18S ribosomal RNA
Rfam family: Eukaryotic small subunit ribosomal RNA
Source: RNAcentral
CCCUUAGAUGUCCUGGGCCGCACGCGCGCUACACUGAUGCAUGCAACGAGUUUAUAACCUUGGCCUGAAAGGUCUGGGUAAUCUUUUGAACGUGCAUCGUGAUAGGGAUAGAUUAUUGCAAUUGUUAGUCUUGAACGAGGAAUUCCUAGUAAACGCGAGUCAUCAGCUCGCAUUGAUUACGUCCCUGCCCUUUGUACACACCGCCCGUCGCACCUACCGAUUGAAUGGUUCGGUGAAGAUCUCGGACUUCGAUAUUUAUUCUUUAUUGAGUUUAUAUUGUGGGAAGUUAUCUAAACCUCAUCAUUUAGAGGAAGGUGAAGUCGUAACA